Molecule: ribosomal RNA, 1517 nt
Filed under: metagenome
Description: bacterial LSU rRNA
Rfam family: Bacterial large subunit ribosomal RNA
Source: RNAcentral
AAACGCUCGAUCCGAUCGGGUAGUAGGUAAGCGAUGGGGUGACGCAGGAAGGUAGUCCAGCCCAGGCGAUGGUUGUCCUGGGGUAAGCAUGUAGGGCGGAACGUAGGUAAAUCCGCGUUCUAUUCAGCCUGAGAUGUGAUGCCGAGCCGAUUGUGGUGAAGUGGAUGAUCCUAUGCUGCCGAGAAAAGCCUCUAGUGAGUGUUGUGGCGGCCCGUACCCUAAACCGACUCAGGUGGUCAGGUAGAGAAUACCAAGGCGAUCGGGUGAACUGUGGUUAAGGAACUCGGCAAAUUGCCCCCGUAACUUCGGGAGAAGGGGGACCUCUGCUGGUGAUGGGCUUUACGUUCUGAGCUGGUGGGGGUCGCAGUGGCCAGGGGGAAGCGACUGUUUACUAAAAACACAGGUCCGUGCGAAGUCGUAAGACGAUGUAUACGGACUGACGCCUGCCCGGUGCCGGAACGUUAAGGGGACCGCUUAGCCAACGCGAGUUGGCGAAGGUGAGAACUUAAGCGCCGGUAAACGGCGGUGGUAACUAUAACCAUCCUAAGGUAGCGAAAUUCCUUGUCGGGUAAGUUCCGACCUGCACGAAUGGCGUAACGACUUCCCCGCUGUCUCAACCACAGACCCGGCGAAAUUGCACUACGAGUAAAGAUGCUCGUUUCGCGCAGCAGGACGGAAAGACCCCGGGACCUUCACUACAGCUUGACAUUGGCGUUUGGAACGUCUUGUGUAGGAUAGGUGGGAGACUGGGAAGCUGUCACGCUAGUGAUGGUGGAGUCAUUGGUGAAAUACCACUCUGGUCGUUUUGAACGUCUAACUCUGGUCCGUGAUCCGGAUCGGGGACAGUGUCUGGUGGGUAGUUUAACUGGGGCGGUUGCCUCCUAAAGAGUAACGGAGGCGCCCAAAGGUUCCCUCAGCCUGGUUGGCAAUCAGGUGUUGAGUGUAAGUGCACAAGGGAGCUUGACUGUGAGACUGACAGGUCGAGCAGGAGCGAAAGCUGGGACUAGUGAUCCGGCAUCGGCGUGUGGAAGCGGUGUCGCUCAACGGCUAAAAGGUACCCCGGGGAUAACAGGCUGAUCUUCCCCAAGAGUCCAUAUCGACGGGAUGUUUUGGCACCUCGAUGUCGGCUCGUCGCAUCCUGGGGCUGGAGUAGGUCCCAAGGGUUGGGCUGUUCGCCCAUUAAAGCGGUACGCGAGCUGGGUUUAGAACGUCGCGAGACAGUUCGGUCCCUAUCCGCUGCGCGCGCAGGAGACUUGAAGGGGGCUGUCCCUAGUACGAGAGGACCGGGACGGACGAACCUCUGGUGUGCCAGUUGUACCGCCAGGUGCACGGCUGGUUGGCUACGUUCGGAAGGGAUAACCGCUGAAAGCAUCUAAGCGGGAAGCUCGCCUUGAGAUGAGGUCUCCCACCCCGUGAGGGGGUAAGGCUCCCGGUAGAUCACCGGGUUGAUAGGCCGGAGGUGGAAGCACGGUAACGUGUGGAGCUGACCGGUACUAAUAGGCCGAGGACUUGACCAC